AGUGAACGCUGGCGGUAGGCCUAACACAUGCAAGUCGAACGGCAGCACAGUAAGAGCUUGCUCUUACGGGUGGCGAGUGGCGGACGGGUGAGGAAUACAUCGGAAUCUACUUUUUCGUGGGGGAUAACGUAGGGAAACUUACGCUAAUACCGCAUACGACCUACGGGUGAAAGCAGGGGAUCUUCGGCCCUUGCGCGAUUGAAUGAGCCGAUGUCGGAUUAGCUAGUUGGCGGGGUAAAGGCCCACCAAGGCGACGAUCCGUAGCUGGUCUGAGAGGAUGAUGAGUCACACGGGAACUGAAGAACGGUCAAGGAGCCUACGGGAGGCAGCAGUGGGGAAUGUGGGAGAAGUGGCGAAAGCGUGAUCAAGCCAUGCGUGGGGUGAGAAGAAGGUCUUAGGAUUGUAAAGCACUUUAAUGUGGGAGGAAAAGCAGUAAGUUAAUACCUUGCUGGUGUGACGUUACCAACAGAAUAAGCACCGGAUAACUUCGUG
This 492-nucleotide ribosomal RNA is filed under the name uncultured bacterium. RNAcentral's name for it is "partial 16S ribosomal RNA". It matches the Rfam family "Bacterial small subunit ribosomal RNA", at positions 29 to 507 of the family's 1533-position model. The record is from RNAcentral.